AGGGUUGUAGCUCAGUGGUAGAGCACUUGCCUCGCAUGCAUGAGGCCCUGGGUUCAGUCCACAGCACCACAU
Molecule: non-coding RNA, 72 nt
Organism: Ictidomys tridecemlineatus (thirteen-lined ground squirrel)
Lineage: Eukaryota; Metazoa; Chordata; Mammalia; Rodentia; Sciuridae
Source: Rfam